GGUUAAGCGACUAAGCGUACACGGUGGAUGCCCUGGCAGUCAGAGGCGAUGAAGGACGUGCUAAUCUGCGAAAAGCGUCGGUAAGGUGAUAUGAACCGUUAUAACCGGCGAUGUCCGAAUGGGGAAACCCAGUGUGAUUCGUCACACUAUCGUUAACUGAAUACAUAGGUUAACGAGGCGAACCGGGGGAACUGAAACAUCUAAGUACCCCGAGGAAAAGAAAUCAACCGAGAUUCCCCCAGUAGCGGCGAGCGAACGGGGAGCAGCCCAGAGUCUGAAUCAGCUUGUGUGUUAGUGGAACGGUCUGGAAAGUCCGACGGUACAGGGUGAUAGUCCCGUACACCAAAAUGCACAGGCUGUGAACUCGAAGAGUAGGGCGGGACACGUGGUAUCCUGUCUGAAUAUGGGGGGACCAUCCUCCAAGGCUAAAUACUCCUGACUGACCGAUAGUGAACCAGUACCGUGAGGGAAAGGCGAAAAGAACCCCGGCGAGGGGAGUGAAAAAGAACCUGAAACCGUGUACGUACAAGCAGUGGGAGCACCUUCGGGUGUGACUGCGUACCUUUUGUAUAAUGGGUCAGCGACUUAUAUUCUGUAGCAAGGUUAACCGUAUAGGGGAGCCGCAGGGAAACCGAGUCUUAACUGGGCGUUAAGUUGCAGGGUAUAGACCCGAAACCCGGUGAUCUAGCCAUGGGCAGGUUGAAGGUUGGGUAACACUAACUGGAGGACCGAACCGACUAAUGUUGAAAAAUUAGCGGAUGACUUGUGGCUGGGGGUGAAAGGCCAAUCAAACCGGGAGAUAGCUGGUUCUCCCCGAAAGCUAUUUAGGUAGCGCCUCGUGAACUCAUCUUCGGGGGUAGAGCACUGUUUCGGCUAGGGGGUCAUCCCGACUUACCAACCCGAUGCAAACUACGAAUACCGAAGAAUGUUAUCACGGGAGACACACGGCGGGUGCUAACGUCCGUCGUGAAGAGGGAAACAACCCAGACCGCCAGCUAAGGUCCCAAAGUCAUGGUUAAGUGGGAAACGAUGUGGGAAGGCACAGACAGCCAGGAUGUUGGCUUAGAAGCAGCCAUCAUUUAAAGAAAGCGUAAUAGCUCACUGGUCGAGUCGGCCUGCGCGGAAGAUGUAACGGGGCUAAACCAUGCACCGAAGCUGCGGCAGCGACACUAUGUGUUGUUGGGUAGGGGAGCGUUCUGUAAGCCUGCGAAGGUG
RNAcentral lists this ribosomal RNA (1215 nucleotides) under Klebsiella pneumoniae. RNAcentral describes it as "partial 23S ribosomal RNA". It matches the Rfam family "Bacterial large subunit ribosomal RNA", at positions 1 to 1258 of the family's 2925-position model. RNAcentral also lists the same sequence under 8 other names. Lineage: Bacteria; Pseudomonadati; Pseudomonadota; Gammaproteobacteria; Enterobacterales; Enterobacteriaceae. The record is from RNAcentral.